AACAUGUUCUCUGUAGCUCUGCUGCUGCUGCUGGCUGCUGCAUCCUGUGUGAAGUGUGAACAGUUGACACAGCCAGGCUCUGUGACUCUGCAGCCAGGUCAGCGUCUCACCAUCAGCUGUCAGGUCUCUUAUGACCUGGGCAGCUACUACACAGCCUGGAUCAGACAGCCUGCUGGGAAAGGACUGGAGUGGAUUGGGAUGAAAUAUACUGGAGGCUCAUAUUACAAAGAUUCACUGCAGAACAAAUUCAGUAUAGACUUAGACUCUUCCAGUAAAACAGUGACUCUGAACGGACAGAAUAUGCAGCCUGGAGACUCUGCUGUGUAUUACUGUGCCAGACUAGACACGGUGACACAAACCAGCUGCAGAGCUGAACAAAAACCCCAAAGUGCCUGA
This is a non-coding RNA of Poeciliopsis prolifica (blackstripe livebearer), 396 nucleotides long. Lineage: Eukaryota; Metazoa; Chordata; Actinopteri; Cyprinodontiformes; Poeciliidae. The record is from the annotation of a RefSeq genome assembly.